Balaenoptera ricei (Rice's whale) is the source of this 666-nucleotide long non-coding RNA. RefSeq lists it as uncharacterized. The record is from RefSeq and is a predicted model, not a curated record. Lineage: Eukaryota; Metazoa; Chordata; Mammalia; Artiodactyla; Balaenopteridae. The transcript has 3 exons.
AAGAAAGGAGUUGCCCCCGAGAUCGGACACUGGAGAGCAGGCGUCUUCUGUCGCGUGAAGUAAGGCCGAUCUCCGGCCACCCGGCGAGGCGGAUGACAACAGCGUCCUUGUAGGCAGGCUGGCUGGAGUGUCGGGCUUCAGGGGACGCGGAGGGGAACCGGAGUAGAGAUAUAUGAGCUCUUUGAAAGCAGAACACUGUUGUUUCCAUGUUCUGAUCAUUCAGAGAUUAUGAAGGCACAGUUCCUGCCUUUUAUUUGCUUACAGUCAAGCGGAGUAGACACAGGUCAUGGUGGCAGUAUAGCCCCUUAAGUAUUCUGAAGGAGAUUUAUCAGCAGGUUGCAGGUGAACAUGGCCUUGAGGUAAAUCCUGCCCCUUAUUGAAAUUUAGUUCCAGCAGAUUGUUGUUGGCAUUUUAAGGAAUUAGAAUAUUUUACAAAAAACAAAAGUUUUGUUGUGGUUCUUUUCUAGACUUUUUUUUUCUUGUGGAAGAUGAGAAACAUGUUUAAAGAAGGGUUCUUUAUGCUGAAUAAUUGUGAUGCUUGAAGUUGGUCAUCUGCCUUAUUUAAAUUAAGUGGAUUUUAAAAAUCAAAGCUAUUUCUACACCAUUUUUUUCUUGAUCAAAUAAAAUUUUAUUAGAACCUUAUAGAUGCCUAGUUUUUAUCCAUGU